This 27-nucleotide non-coding RNA is filed under the name Rattus norvegicus (Norway rat). The record is from RNAcentral. Lineage: Eukaryota; Metazoa; Chordata; Mammalia; Rodentia; Muridae.
UCACAUGUUCUAUGGGGUGCACCGAUG